GACGAACGCUGGCGGCGUGCUUAACACAUGCAAGUCGAACGCUGAAGCCUGGCUUUUGUUGGGUGGAUGAGUGGCGAACGGGUGAGUAACACGUGAGUAACCUGCCCUCUUCUUUGGGAUAACGCCCGGAAACGGGUGCUAAUACUGGAUAUUCACUUGCCUUCGCAUGGGGGUGGGUGGAAAGGGUUUUUUCUGGUGGGGGAUGGGCUCGCGGCCUAUCAGCUUGUUGGUGGGGUGAUGGCUUACCAAGGCUUUGACGGGUAGCCGGCCUGAGAGGGUGACCGGUCACAUUGGGACUGAGAUACGGCCCAGACUCCUACGGGAGGCAGCAGUGGGGAAUAUUGCACAAUGGGCGCAAGCCUGAUGCAGCGACGCCGCGUGAGGGAUGGAGGCCUUCGGGUUGUGAACCUCUUUCGCUCAUGGUCAAGCCGCAACUCAUGGUUGUGGUGAGGGUAG
RNAcentral lists this ribosomal RNA (456 nucleotides) under uncultured bacterium. RNAcentral describes it as "bacterial SSU rRNA". It matches the Rfam family "Bacterial small subunit ribosomal RNA", at positions 28 to 478 of the family's 1533-position model. The record is from RNAcentral.